Molecule: ribosomal RNA, 165 nt
Filed under: Allium atrorubens var. atrorubens
Lineage: Eukaryota; Viridiplantae; Streptophyta; Magnoliopsida; Asparagales; Amaryllidaceae
Also listed under: 1 other name
Description: 5.8S ribosomal RNA
Rfam family: 5.8S ribosomal RNA (bases 53-165)
About the family: 5.8S ribosomal RNA (5.8S rRNA) is a component of the large subunit of the eukaryotic ribosome. It is transcribed by RNA polymerase I as part of the 45S precursor that also contains 18S and 28S rRNA. Functionally, it is thought that 5.8S rRNA may be involved in ribosome translocation.
Source: RNAcentral
CGCCUUCUUUUUGUUAAGAGGCGCGUCCUCCUACUAGUGUAAAAAUAUGCAUGACUCUUGGCAACGGAUAUCUAGGCUCUCGCGUCGAUGAAGAACGUAGCGAAAUGCGAUACUUGGUGUGAAUUGCAGAAUCCCGUGAACCAUCGAGUCUUUGAACGCAAGUUG